GAUGAACGCUGGCGGCAUGCCUAACACAUGCAAGUCGAUCGGUAAGGCUCUUCGGAGUACACGAGAGGCGGACGGCUGAGUAACGCGUAGGAACACACCCUGCGGUGAGGGAUAAGACACCGAAAGGUGUUCUAAUACCGCAUACGGUCUUCGGAUUAAAGCAUUUAUGCGCUGAAGGAGUGGCCUGCGUCAUAUUAGAUAGUUGGUGAGGUAAUGGCUCACCAAGUCGAUGAUGUGUAGCUGGUCUGAGAGGAUGAUCAGCCAGACUGGAACUGAGACACGGUCCAGACUCCUACGGGAGGCAGCAGUGAGGAAUAUUUCACAAUGAGCGAAAGCUUGAUGGAGCAAUGCCGCGUGCAGGAUGAAGGCCCUCGGGUUGUAAACUGCUUUUAUAAGAGAAGAUUAUGACGGUAACUUAUGAAUAAGGGACGGCUAACUACGUGC
Molecule: ribosomal RNA, 444 nt
Filed under: uncultured bacterium
Lineage: Bacteria
Description: partial 16S ribosomal RNA
Rfam family: Bacterial small subunit ribosomal RNA
Source: RNAcentral